AAUGGCUUGAAUUGUGAUCUUGUUUGUAUAUCCACUUUGUUUGUGAUUAAAUUUCAAAUGGCAUGCAUUGUCUACAGGAAGAGAAUUGAACCAUAUUGGCAAAAUGCUUUUGAUUUAUUUUUCUCUUUUAGCUCUUUUAGACUUGAACAUCUUGAUAUCAGUGAUAUAGGAUCUUAUACAUAAAAAAAACUACUUCUGUUUAUCUGAUUUAGUUUGUAUUGUCAAGGUACUCUAGUAUGUUUGAAAAUGAGGUAAAGAUUGCUUGUCUUGUUUGUCGCGACUGUUGUGAUUGCAAAGCAUGUUCUAGAAGUCUAGCUAAAGAUGGUUAUAAGGUUUACUUACUUUUAACAUGCAAAGUUUUAUGAACAUUAUUUACUCUGAGAAUGUUUUGUCACGAAAGUUUCCAUUUAUGUGAUCUUCAGGAUCUUGAAAUUGUUUAGGAGCAUAGGAAACUGAGUAUGUCGAUAGUGAUGAGAUUUGUCUUGUCGAUGUGACAACUGUCUACCCUGUUAGUCAUGGACAAUUGGAUUGUCCGACUUGUUCUCCUCUUGGAGCAAAAGAAGACUGGCAUAAGGAACUGGCAAAUGGUCAAAACAAGUUUAAUAAUAAGGAGCACACAUAUAGCUUGAUAUCUGAAUUGCUUCCCUUGCUAAAACAUAUCUAUCAGAACAAAUUAAAUGAGCUGGAAGUAAAGCAAGGGGAUCAACGUAAGCUUCAAAACAAUUUCCUAGUUUCUUCCUCCAGUUAGAUAUCCUCUUGAUCGAUCUAUCAUCCAGAAGGUGGAUUUUCUGGUGUACUUCUUCGAGUAUAUGAGCCUCACAAUGAGCUUGUUAACUGUAAUUAUUACAAGACUUCACUAGUGGAUUUUCACAGAAGCUGCUCAAAUUUCUCUUACAAACUUUUCUUAGAUUGUUGCGAAAAGAUAGUAAAGGGAACUGCUUCUCAGACACCUGCAAUUGAUUCCUCCAAGGCUGGUAGGAGACAAAGGGCAAAGAAGUAUGUCAUCAGAGAAAUUGUUGGGAAAAGACGGAGACGUUCCACAGGCGAGCGACCAGAUAACUCAUCUUUAUCCACCGUUGAGUCUGAUAGCAAGGCUAAGAAUCAUGGAAGCAACAUUCCUUGCCCAUCCAAGGAAUCUGGAG
Molecule: long non-coding RNA, 1142 nt
Organism: Zingiber officinale
Lineage: Eukaryota; Viridiplantae; Streptophyta; Magnoliopsida; Zingiberales; Zingiberaceae
Exons: 3
Source: RefSeq, a predicted model, not a curated record